This 722-nucleotide ribosomal RNA is filed under the name Streptococcus sp. HXF0003. Its description in RNAcentral is "bacterial SSU rRNA". It matches the Rfam family "Bacterial small subunit ribosomal RNA", at positions 56 to 762 of the family's 1533-position model. Lineage: Bacteria; Bacillati; Bacillota; Bacilli; Lactobacillales; Streptococcaceae. The record is from RNAcentral.
UGCAGUAGAACGCUGAAGCUUGGUGCUUGCACCGAGCGGAUGAGUUGCGAACGGGUGAGUAACGCGUAGGUAACCUGCCUCUUAGCGGGGGAUAACUAUUGGAAACGAUAGCUAAUACCGCAUAAAAGUCAACAUUGCAUGAUGUUGACUUGAAAGGUGCAAAUGCAUCACUAAGAGAUGGACCUGCGUUGUAUUAGCUAGUUGGUGAGGUAACGGCUCACCAAGGCGACGAUACAUAGCCGACCUGAGAGGGUGAUCGGCCACACUGGGACUGAGACACGGCCCAGACUCCUACGGGAGGCAGCAGUAGGGAAUCUUCGGCAAUGGACGGAAGUCUGACCGAGCAACGCCGCGUGAGUGAAGAAGGUUUUCGGAUCGUAAAGCUCUGUUGUAAGAGAAGAACGAGUGUGAGAGUGGAAAGUUCACACUGUGACGGUAACUUACCAGAAAGGGACGGCUAACUACGUGCCAGCAGCCGCGGUAAUACGUAGGUCCCGAGCGUUAUCCGGAUUUAUUGGGCGUAAAGCGAGCGCAGGCGGUUAGAUAAGUCUGAAGUUAAAGGCUGUGGCUUAACCAUAGUACGCUUUGGAAACUGUUUAACUUGAGUGCAGAAGGGGAGAGUGGAAUUCCAUGUGUAGCGGUGAAAUGCGUAGAUAUAUGGAGGAACACCGGUGGCGAAAGCGGCUCUCUGGUCUGUAACUGACGCUGAAGCUCGAAAGCGU